AUCCGGUACUCGUUAAGGCUGAGCUGUGAUGGGGAGAAGACAUUGUGUCUUCGAGUCGUUGAUUUCACACUGCCGAGAAAAGCCUCUAGAUAGAAAAUAGGUGCCCGUACCGCAAACCGACACAGGUAGUCAAGAUGAGAAUUCUAAGGUGAGCGAGCGAACUCUCGUUAAGGAACUCGGCAAAAUGACCCCGUAACUUCGGGAGAAGGGGUGCUCUUUAGGGUUAACGCCCAGAAGAGCCGCAGUGAAUAGGCCCAAGCGACUGUUUAUCAAAAACACAGGUCUCUGCUAAACCGUAAGGUGAUGUAUAGGGGCUGACGCCUGCCCGG
RNAcentral lists this ribosomal RNA (329 nucleotides) under Xanthomonas citri pv. citri. RNAcentral describes it as "partial 23S ribosomal RNA". It matches the Rfam family "Bacterial large subunit ribosomal RNA", at positions 1540 to 1866 of the family's 2925-position model. Lineage: Bacteria; Pseudomonadati; Pseudomonadota; Gammaproteobacteria; Lysobacterales; Lysobacteraceae. The record is from RNAcentral.